Molecule: long non-coding RNA, 1679 nt
Organism: Rhineura floridana
Lineage: Eukaryota; Metazoa; Chordata; Lepidosauria; Squamata; Rhineuridae
Exons: 5
Source: RefSeq, a predicted model, not a curated record
UUGAGAAUGGACUAGCCAAAAAAAGAACAAGUUUAAAUACAUUUUAAAAACCCUGUCUUUUCAAAUGAGCUGGUAAGGAAGGUCCACAACUCAGUGGCAGAUCACACGCUUUGCAUACAGACAGCCCCAGAUUCAAUCCUUAGCAUCUCCAGCACUCCAACAGCUACAGAAAAAGUCCACUAAUUCUCCACUCCAUUGAAAAGGCUGCCCUUUGCCUGCAUCUGGUUCUGUUAUGUUGGUGGCUUCUAGCAGACAUAUGCAGAAUAGACAUCUAGUUCUGGGUGUCCAGCUCAAGAAGCCAUAGGCUAUGCACAUGAAUUGGGCAACUGGAUGUGCACGGGCCUCCCAUUCCAGAAAUGAACAACCCUAAAACAAGUUGGAUAUCCCACCCUGCCAGAUAAAGCAGAUGAAAGAAGCUACUUCCAAAAGCUGAGAUGACUUGCAUGAAAACCUUGUUCUUAGUACAUGCUACUGACAGACUGCAUAGGACAUCUAUGAUGUCCGAGACACAUACCACUCCUAUGAUGUCUGACCACGGCCAGCACCAGAGGGCGGCCAGGUCAGGCCCUGGCCAAGGGCCUCUGAAGGAUAUGUUUCCCUGAAUCAUCCAAAGGCAGGGAAACAUUAAGGCAAUUUCCAGUGUGCUAUCAUAUGGAAAGCGGGAUUGGACCAAGAGGAAGGAGGUGUGAAAAUUGAGGGAGAAACAUCAAUAAUUUAAGAUAUGCAGACGACACCAUACUAUUAGCAGAAACCAAGUAAUGAUUUGAAAUGAAUGCUGAUGAAAGUUAAAGAGGAAAGCACAAAGCAGGACUACAGCUGAACGUCAAAAAGACUAAAGUAAUGACAACAGAAGAUUUAUGUAACUUUAAAGUUGACAAUGAGGACAUUGAACUUGUCAAGGAUUAUCAAUACCUCGGCACAGUCAUUAACCAAAAUGGAGACAAUAAUCAAGAAAUCAGAAGAAGGCUAGGAUUUGGGAGGGCAGCUAUGAGAGAACUAGAAAAGGUCCUCAAAUGCAAAGAUGUAUCACUGAACACCAAAGUCAGGAUCAUUCAGACCAUGGUAUUCCCGAUCUCUAUGUAUGGAUGUGAAAGUUGGACAGUGAAAAAGGCGGAUAAGAGAAAAAUCAACUCAUUUGAAAUGUGGUGCUGGAGGAGAGCUUUGAGCAUAGCAUGGACUGCAAAAAAGACAAAUAAUUGGGUGUUAGAACAAAUUAAACCAGAACUGUCACUAGAGGCUAAAAUGAUGAAACUGAGGUUAUCAUACUUUGGACACAUAAUGAGAAGACAUGAUUCAUUAGAAAAGACAAUAAUGCUGGGAAAAACAGGAGGGAGUAGAAAAAGAGGAAGGCCAAACAAGAGAUGGAUGGAUUCCAUAAAGGAAGCCACAGACCUGAACUUACAAGAUCUGAACAGGGUGGUUCAUGACAGAUGCUCCUGGAGGUCACUGAUUCAUAGGGUCACCAUAAGUCGUAAUCGACUUGAAGGCACAUAACAAUAACAAAAAAUCUUACCAGUACCUCUGCAACAAGUUUUAGCACUGUUACCCAGCACCACCAUGCUAUUCUGAGAAAUAAAGCUAACAUCAUCUAGUACUCAGAGUAUAUUCUUAUUUAUUAAAUUUAUAUCCUGCCCUUCCUCCAUGCCUCUGAACUAGCAACCUUCAUCUAGCCAUUGAGG